RNAcentral lists this ribosomal RNA (393 nucleotides) under uncultured bacterium. RNAcentral describes it as "partial 16S ribosomal RNA". It matches the Rfam family "Bacterial small subunit ribosomal RNA", at positions 523 to 918 of the family's 1533-position model. The record is from RNAcentral.
AUACGGAGGAUCCGAGCGUUAUCCGGAUUUAUUGGGUUUAAAGGGAGCGUAGAUGGAUGUUUAAGUCAGUUGUGAAAGUUUGCGGCUCAACCGUAAAAUUGCAGUUGAUACUGGAUAUCUUGAGUGCAGUUGAGGCAGGCGGAAUUCGUGGGGUAGCGGGGAAAUGCUUAGAUAUCACGAAGAACUCCGAUUGCGAAGGCAGCCUGCUAAGCUGCAACUGACAUUGAGGCUCGAAAGUGUGGGUAUCAAACAGGAUUAGAUACCCUGGUAGUCCACACGGUAAACGAUGAAUACUCGCUGUUUGCGAUAUACUGCAAGCGGCCAAGCGAAAGCGUUAAGUAUUCCACCUGGGGAGUACGCCGGCAACGGUGAAACUCAAAUGAAUUGACGGGG